This is a small nuclear RNA of Tachyglossus aculeatus (Australian echidna), 104 nucleotides long. The record is from RefSeq and is a predicted model, not a curated record. NCBI's taxonomy places the organism in Eukaryota, Metazoa, Chordata, Mammalia, Monotremata, Tachyglossidae.
CUAUUGAAUGAAUGAAUAUACUAAAGUUGAAACUUUAUAUAUAAGAUUAAUAUGGCCCUUGCUCAAGGAUGACAUGCAAAUUGAUUUAGCGGUCCAACUGUCAU